UACGGGGGGAGCAAGCGUUGUUCGGAUUUACUGGGCGUAAAGGGCGCGUAGGCGGCCACCGCAAGUCGGUUGUGAAAUCUCUGGGCUUAACCCAGAAAGGUCAACCGAUACUGCGGGGCUAGAGUGCAGAAGGGGCAACUGGAAUUCUCGGUGUAGCGGUGAAAUGCGUAGAUAUCGUUUGGAACGCCAAUGGUGAAAACAGGUUGCUGGGAGUGCGCUGACGCUGAGACACGAAAGCCAGGGGAGCAAACGGG
This 254-nucleotide ribosomal RNA is filed under the name uncultured bacterium. RNAcentral's name for it is "partial 16S ribosomal RNA". It matches the Rfam family "Bacterial small subunit ribosomal RNA", at positions 524 to 776 of the family's 1533-position model. The record is from RNAcentral.